Molecule: non-coding RNA, 2082 nt
Organism: Ictidomys tridecemlineatus (thirteen-lined ground squirrel)
Lineage: Eukaryota; Metazoa; Chordata; Mammalia; Rodentia; Sciuridae
Source: RefSeq, a predicted model, not a curated record
ACCCGGGCCGCACGCUUUGCCAGGCGAGCGCGCUACCGCUUGAGCCACAUCCCCAGCCCUAGAGCUAGUGUUUUUGAGAAAUCAGCAUGACUUUUAUUUUUCUCUUUUCUGUACUGGGGAUGAACCCAAGGCCCUUGCAUGCUAGGCAAGCACUCUUCCACUGAGCUAUACCCCAAUCCCAUAAAUAGCUUAAGUUUCAGCUUCGUGAUUAUGAACACUUGGCCUUGGGAUAUAGCCACACUGGCCUCCAGUUUAUUUUUGUUUUUUACAGUAAUCAUUACAAGACCUGGGACUUGAUGGGAUGGUUACAAGUUUUAUGGUCAUCCAAGGAACCAGAUUCCUUCACCUUUGUGCUCCUGCAUCUCCCAGGGGCUGUCCUCAGAUACAUUUGUCUCCUGUCCAAGUUUCAACCAGCAGAAAGGAGGAGGAGAAAGUCUGGGAAGUUUUCCGCCUGCUUAUCCUGCCCCAGGCAUCGAGGGGUUCUGGGAGAUAUCUGCAGGCAGCAUUUCCUGUCCUAAUUGGAUGAGUUGACCUUUCCAACCGAGGACUCACGGCAGAGGAGAGGAAGAACUGGAAGUGGGUGUGGAUCUAACCAGCGCUGUCCGUGGGCGCCCCGCAGGUAUGAGGGCAGGUCACGCACAACAGAGGCCAUUUGUUAAUUUCAGGAAGUUUGCUGCCAGAAAAAGGCAGAGGGUGUUGCCAAAAUUGCUGCUGUCUGUCCUCCCUCCCUCUGUCCCUCGCUCCCUCCCUCCUCCCUUCCUUCUUUUCUUGAGGGAGGGUCUUGCUAAGUUGCCCAGUUUGGCCUUCAACUUGCGAUCCUCCUGCCUCGGGCUCCCGAGGAGCUGGGGUUAGAGGUGUGUGUCAUUGCACCCAGCAGCUGCUAAAUUUAAAUUUUGAAAACAGGUUCCCCCCCCAGUGGGGAAGGGUCAGAAUCCUGCUCCGGUUCCUACUAUAAUCUUUUUGACCCGCGGAGGGUAAUAUUUCCAAAUUCCUUCUCUGCCCCUCUUCAAAUUAUGCAGAUAGAAAGGAAUGAAGGAAUUUUAAAAUGUGAGAAUGGAUGGCAAAGACCUCCCCACGCAGUCUUCCAAGUGGGGACACUGAGCUCGUUGGUGGUGACGUGUGGGCAUCCAUGUGCAUCAUGCUAGGAGGGGUCUUUAGCUGGAGCCCCUUCAAAUGAUAUUCAUUCUGUAAUAGAUGGUUUUUCCUGUCAAGCAGGUGGGACCAGCAGAGUGCUGCCUGUGGGCGAUGGCUCUUCACCAGGUCCUGGGAUUCUUGGAUAGUGAAUUAUGUGAGUUAGGGCUGGGCAAAAUGACCCACAAUGUCUAUAGGAUUUCCCCGAGAAUCCCGUCUUUUUCCAGAUAUUAUGCUAGGCAGUCAGUGUGAGGUUGUGUUCAGUGGCUAUAACAAACUGAAACUUCAGUGACUUCAGCCAACACAAGUUUACUUCUCCUUCCAGUAAGGCCGGUCAGCCGGGCUCACUUCCACACCAGGGACUGGAAGUCCAGUCUUCCUCCAUUUUGGAACAGCACCCCCUUUGGUGGCUUUCAGAGCCCCCUCCAGAGGGGAAGAGGAGGAUGGAGGGGAGCACCAGCUCCUAACUGCCUCAGCCUGGUAGUGAUAAUCCAUUGGCUAGAACGAGUCACAUGGGUCUGACCCCUCUGAAAUGGAUUGUGGGAAAUGUAGAGGAUUCUGGGAAAUGUAGGCCUGGACCCUGAGAUGCUCAUGAUUUCUAUUGGAAGACAGAGACUUGGCUUUUAGUGCCUCAAAUAUGGCAAGAGAAUUGUGUUUGGCUAUCACCAGUGUCACCUGCGGGGCAGAACAUUUCCCCCUUUGGGAGCCAGUGUCGAGACCUGCCCUGAUCUUGGCUGCAUGGUGGACAUCGUGUCUCCCACAAGGUCCUGUUCAGAUCCUGGAGCCCUGGCUUGCAGGCAGGGGGGUGGACGCAGUGAGAGCUGAUCAGUCAGCACAGACCUUAAAGCAACUGAGGUUCAUUCCUCCCCUGUCCCAGCUGUUCCAGUUACUGCUGCUGAGCACCAGAAUGUUCCAAAACGCAGCGGCUUGGAACAAGGGUCGUGACGAUGG